CUUCCAUCUGGGCUGAGCUGGGUCACUGUGAGUCAACAUGCCCGAGUGCUGUGAACGUUAUGAGAGGGCCUUGUUGGGAACACGUGCUCCUGGGAAUCAGCCCUUCCCUCUGUCCUGUUCCCACUCCUCCCCGACGAUGCUCCUGCUCAGAACCCACUCCUCACCUCAGUGAAGCAACGCAGCGGGCACCCUGUGGACAAAGCUGGAUAUUGGCUCUGAAUAAAAGCGAAUCAUGGGGAAAAUCAGUGUCUCAGUAAAAUGGGGUUUUCUUAGUAGAGACCAGACUGUGAAGGACCUUGCUUCAUUCCAUCUUUGAGGAGGAUGAUGAUUCAGGGACAUUGGCCCAAGAUCAAAGUGGUAUUUUUAGGUUGUAUUUACUUAGCUAUUUGCCGUCUACCUCCUUAUUUCCAGGUAGCAACUUCCUUCUUAUAUCUGAGAUGUUUAAGAGAUGAUGAAACCAGCUUGCACACACUUCUCAAAGUGUGUUUGUUCGCAUCCAUUAUUUCACUGGGGAC
Molecule: long non-coding RNA, 515 nt
Filed under: Homo sapiens (human)
Lineage: Eukaryota; Metazoa; Chordata; Mammalia; Primates; Hominidae
Description: LNC_000841
Source: RNAcentral